Liolophura sinensis is the source of this 1637-nucleotide long non-coding RNA. RefSeq lists it as uncharacterized. NCBI's taxonomy places the organism in Eukaryota, Metazoa, Mollusca, Polyplacophora, Chitonida, Chitonidae. The transcript has 3 exons. The record is from RefSeq and is a predicted model, not a curated record.
CUGUACACCUCGCGUUUUCCAUUGUGACAUAUAACUGGUGUAAAAAUCUCUCAGUAUAACCAGUUUUUUUAUUUCUAUACAAAUUUAAGCCACAGUUGAUAUUUACGUAUAUAUUCCAGAAACCUGUCAUUAGACAUGUUCUAUCAAAAGGGUUUUUGUGGAGAGUGGCUUAGACCCGCCUUCGCUGUAGGCGAAUCAUGGCUGUAUGCUUUAACAACUGGUGCAAAAUCAUGCCAUGUCCGCGCAUGAUCAGUGGGUGAUUUAUUGGGACGUGUUCCAAAAAAUAUAUUAGUACUUAAUAGUCGAUCGACUUUAGAUUGAGGCGUACAGUCAAGAAGAAAGAGACGAAAAUUCAAGGCUUUAGUAAACUGUCUUAAUAACAAAUGCAAGUAUGGCUGGCAAAGGCAAAAUGCAGAAGAAUUUACCAAAAACCAAAGUCAUGGAAAACCGACGUCAAUAUCGUGACGGGCCAUCCACACGACGUGAUAUUCCAAACGCUAUCAACCUGGACGACGAUCAGCUUCCAGAUGACGAUCCAGAUAGGAGAUGUAGAUGUUCGUGCUGAGGAAAAGAAUGUAGAAAGACUCGCAGUUUAAGGAAAAUGCAAUGGAAUAUCAGCUCAACAAUUUUCUCGAGAAUUUUGGAGUCGACAUUUUACAAGUCUUGAAUGAAGCCUGGAAACUUUGUGUCUUGGUUUUAUCAGUGUUUAACACUUGCAGAUCUACUUCUGAUUAACAGGGUAAAGCAUACUUUCUCUUGAUUGUUAACUUGCUUAGAUUUUCGUUACAUGAUUUUUAAAAUACAUACAUAUCUUUAUUUUAGACAUAUCACGUGUAACCGAAGUUGUAGAGAGAGCUAAUUCUAAAUUUGAGAUUUCGAAUUAAUGUGCUGUACUUAAGCUACUCAUGUAGUACUUUUAUAUAUCUUAAACAUAUUUAAACCACGGGUUUAUACACUUUAGUAAGGGAUGUUAGGUGCAUGCGUCCUUAGAUACUUUCCAUUUGAGCAUAGUUUUCAACAAGUAUGCAAAUUAGGCUUCUGUGGCCAUUUUAGCAGAUCACGUGACACAUUUUACCCUUUCAUUCUAUUUUCUAUCUUAGUUUAUCACACAGUGGUGAAGCAUUGUGUGCUAAAUCCACGUAAAAACCUACGAAAAAUGCCGAAAGUGUCUUUGAAAAAAAGCAGAGGGAAGUUUAAUAUGCCAUUUGAUAUGACAAGUUCAAUAGUGCAGGUCUUGUUUCCGCAAAAUGCAUCUCGAUACCUACCAUUUUGAAGAAAACUAAUUUCGUACUGUAAAAUAAAAACUAUAAACGCUAGAAUGAUUGGACUUCGUCUUGUCUUCAAAAAUUCUGUAACAUUUUAAUUAUCUGCAAGGAAAAAGUUUCUAAAUCUUAUAAAAUCGUUUGACUGCAGUUCAAUUAUUGAAUUGAAUACGAUUACAGUUUUUUUCCUGCUUUCUCUUCAGUCACAAAACAUACAUUAUCUUUCUCACCAAAACAUUAGCAACUGUAAUCCAAUUACAGACAGUUUUAUGUUAUUAUUUCUCGGAAUACAGUUCUGUCUGUAUGUCUGUAUAUGUAUUUUCUGUGGGUGGUAUUUUGUUGAAUCUAAUUAAAUCGUGUGAGUUUAUUAUCUCA